GUAAUACCUGCCCAGUGCGAAAUAUUAAUGUAAACGGCCGCCCUAGCGUGAGGGUGCUAAGGUAGCGAAAUUCCUUGCCUUUUGAUUGUAGGCCUGCAUGAAUGGUUUAACGAGGGUUUAGCUGUCUCUAAAUUUUUAAUUGAAAUUGUAUUGAAGGUGAAGAUACCUUCAUUUAAAAGUUAGACAAAAAGACCCCGUGCAACUUUGAAAAUUAACUUUAUUCAGGGGUAAAAGAUUUUUAGGUGGGGCGCCUAGAAAGUAAGCCUAACCUUUCUGAGUAGGAGUUUCUUUCAGGAGUUGACCCGAUUAUAUUCGAUCAUAGGAGAAGUUACGCCGGGGAUAACAGGCUAAUCCUUUAGUAGAGCUCGUAUUGGCUAAAGGGAUUGGCACCUCGAUGUUGAAUCAGGGAUGAUAGCUUCAAGGCGUAGAGGCUU
Molecule: ribosomal RNA, 434 nt
Filed under: Magallana bilineata (tropical oyster)
Lineage: Eukaryota; Metazoa; Mollusca; Bivalvia; Ostreida; Ostreidae
Description: partial 16S ribosomal RNA
Rfam family: Bacterial large subunit ribosomal RNA
Source: RNAcentral